RNAcentral lists this ribosomal RNA (1376 nucleotides) under Lampyridae sp. UPOL RK0118. Its description in RNAcentral is "SSU rRNA". It matches the Rfam family "Eukaryotic small subunit ribosomal RNA", at positions 32 to 1341 of the family's 1831-position model. Lineage: Eukaryota; Metazoa; Arthropoda; Insecta; Coleoptera; Lampyridae. The record is from RNAcentral.
UUGUCUCAAAGAUUAAGCCAUGCAUGUCUCAGUACAUACCGAAUUAAGGUGAAACCGCGAAAGGCUCAUUAUAUCAGUUAUGGUUCAUUAGAUCGUACCCCACAUUUACUUGGAUAACUGUGGUAAUUCUAGAGCUAAUACAUGCAAACAGAACUCCGACCGGAGACGGAAGGAGCGCUUUUAUUAGAUCAAAACCAAUAGGCGGCGGCGGCCGGCGUUUCACGACGUCGCGUCGUCGUCGUCACAUAAAUCGCACGACGAAUCUGAAUAACUUUAUGCCGAUCGCACGGUCACGCACCGGCGACGGAUCUUUCAAAUGUCUGCCUUAUCAACUUUCGAUGGUAGGUUAUGCGCCUACCAUGGUUGUAACGGGUAACGGGGAAUCAGGGUUCGAUUCCGGAGAGGGAGCCUGAGAAACGGCUACCACAUCCAAGGAAGGCAGCAGGCGCGCAAAUUACCCACUCCCGGCACGGGGAGGUAGUGACGAAAAAUAACGAUACGGGACUCAUCCGAGGCCCCGUGAUCGGAAUGAGCACACUUUAAAUCCUUUAACUAGGAUCAAUUGGAGGGCAAGUCUGGUGCCAGCAGCCGCGGUAAUUCCAGCUCCAAUAGCGUAUAUUAAAGUUGCUGCGGUUAAAAAGCUCGUAGUCGAAAUUGUGUCCCGGGCCGCCGGUUCGUCGCUCGCGACGCCAACUGGCGCGCACGCGGGACGUCCAGCCGGUACCACGAACCCGCCGACGGUGCUCUUAACCGAGUGUCCAGGCGGGGGCCGGCAAUGUUACUUUGAACAAAUUAAAGUGCUUAAAGCAAGCUAAACUGCGCUCGUAUAAUACGUGCAUGGAAUAAUCGAAUAGGACCUCUGUUCUAUUUUGUUGGUUUUUGUGGAACGCACAGAGGUAAUGAUCAAUGGGUGCGGAUGGGGGCAUUCGUAUUGCGACGUUAGAGGUGAAAUUCUUGGAUCGUCGCAAGACGCACUAAAGCGAAAGCAUUUGCCAAAAACGCUUUCAUCGAUCAAGAACGAAAGUUAGAGGUUCGAAGGCGAUCAGAUACCGCCCUAGUUCUAACCAUAAACUAUGCCAGCUAGCGAUCCGCCGCAGUUACUACUACGACUCGGCGGGCAGCUUUCGGGAAACCAAAGCUUUUGGGUUCCGGGGGAAGUAUGGUUGCAAAGCUGAAACUUAAAGGAAUUGACGGAAGGGCACCACCAGGAGUGGAGCCUGCGGCUUAAUUUGACUCAACACGGGAAACCUCACCAGGCCCGGACACCGAAAGGAUUGACAGAUUGAGAGCUCUUUCUUGAUUCGGUGGGUGGUGGUGCAUGGCCGUUCUUAGUUGGUGGAGCGAUUUGUCUGGUUAAUUCCGAUAACGAACGAGAC